CCUACGGGUGGCUGCAGUGGGGAAUAUUGGACAAUGGGGGCAACCCUGAUCCAGCCAUGCCGCGUGUGUGAAGAAGGCCCUCGGGUUGUAAAGCACUUUCAGUGAGGAAGAACGCCUGGUGGUUAAUACCCAUCAGGAAAGACAUCACUCACAGAAGAAGCACCGGCUAACUCCGUGCCAGCAGCCGCGGUAAUACGGAGGGUGCGAGCGUUAAUCGGAAUUACUGGGCGUAAAGCGCGCGUAGGUGGCUUGAUAAGCCGGUUGUGAAAGCCCCGGGCUCAACGUGGGAACGGCAUCCGGAACUGUCAAGCUAGAGUGCAGGAGAGGAAGGUAGAAUUCCCGGUGUAGCGGUGAAAUGCGUAGAGAUCGGGAGGAAUACCAGUGGCGAAGGCGGCCUUCUGGACUGACACUGACACUGAGGUGCGAAAGCGUGGGUAGCAAACAGGAUUAGAUACCCUGGUAGUC
This 465-nucleotide ribosomal RNA is filed under the name Vreelandella stevensii. RNAcentral's name for it is "partial 16S ribosomal RNA". It matches the Rfam family "Bacterial small subunit ribosomal RNA", at positions 338 to 795 of the family's 1533-position model. The record is from RNAcentral. Lineage: Bacteria; Pseudomonadati; Pseudomonadota; Gammaproteobacteria; Oceanospirillales; Halomonadaceae.